Scylla paramamosain (green mud crab) is the source of this 920-nucleotide long non-coding RNA. RefSeq lists it as uncharacterized. The transcript is spliced from 3 exons. NCBI's taxonomy places the organism in Eukaryota, Metazoa, Arthropoda, Malacostraca, Decapoda, Portunidae. The record is from RefSeq and is a predicted model, not a curated record.
GGGUCCGGGCCUUCAGCCGAGUACACGCGGGAGGCAUUGUAAUAAUGGUGGGCGCAUGGAACAUGGUGAUCGGGGUGUUGGGGAAGUUAUCAAGGAGGUUACUGCCACGCUCACCCCUGCUACUGCCUGCCCAAGGGGAAGCCCAGGCUGCCGCGCACAUACAACUACCGGCAAAGGCGGUGGUGGGGGCGGGAGGGCGUAGUCUGGAGGAGGCUGGCGAGGGUUAUGGAGGGGUCCUGUCAUCCCCCCUCUCCCCCCUCUUCCUCGCUCCCCAAAUUGGCCUCUCACCAGCACAAGUAGCGGCGGGGCUGAAGGAGGGCGCGAGUUUAGUAGGCUUCGCUAAGAUUGGGCUGGAAGUUAACGGAGGAGGAGGCGUGGCACGUGACAAUGCAAUACAGGGCUUACAGAUGACAGGCGUGACUGGGCCGUGCCUCGCCGCCCUUGUCAACAUCCUAGAGACAGAUACUUUCACCCUGUAGAAAAAGAGAGAGAGAGAGAGAGAGAGAGAGAGAGAGAGAGAGAGAGAGAGAGAGAGAGAGAGAGAGAGAGUGUGUGUGUGAGAGGAUAUUUUUUCAUUUUCUUCCGUUAUAUAUUCAAUUUAUUUAUUUAUUUAUUAUUUUAAGGGAUAUUUUUUUCUCAAUAUUUUUCGUUCGUUUUUAUAAUGGAAUGUUUAAUUUUACCUAUAUUUGUUUACAUUUUUUAUCAAUUUCUUUCGAUUUUAUAUUCAGUUUAUUUAUUUAUCAUUAUUUUUUUUAAGAUCAUUUAUUAUUUUUUUCGCUCGUUUUCAUAAUGGCAAUGUUUAAUUUUAUGUAUAUUUUUCAAUUAUUUUUCAUUUCUUCGACUUAAUAUCCAGUUUAUUUAUUUAUUAUUACUUCUAAGUGUGUCUAGGUACUUGCAAUGAUCAUUUAUUUAUUUAUUUU